Molecule: transfer RNA, 62 nt
Filed under: Capitulum mitella
Lineage: Eukaryota; Metazoa; Arthropoda; Thecostraca; Pollicipedomorpha; Pollicipedidae
Description: tRNA-Cys
Source: RNAcentral
GGCGAUAUAGUUUAAGAAAAAUAGUGUCUUGCAAGGAUGAAGUUACUUUCGGGUUAUCGCUU